UCCGAUUGAUCCCGUCGGACCUUACUGCUAUCGAGAUGGGACUAACCCAGGCCAGUCGAACGACCCGGACUAUGGUGGGGAGUGGCAUACUGCUCAGUAACACGUAGCUAACCUAACCUCAAGACGGAAAUAACCCCGGGAAAUUGGGGUUAAUGUCCGAUAGAUGUGAAUUUUUGGAAUGGUAUUAUGUCCAAACGUCAGUGUACUAUGUUGUAUGAACGCUUGAGGAUGGGGCUGCGGCCGAUCAGGCUGUUGGUGGGGUAAUGGCCCACCAAACCUUUGACCGGUAUGGGCUAUGAGAGUGGUAGCCCAGAGAUGGACACUGAGACAAGGGUCCAGGCCCUACGGGGCGCAGCCGGUACGAAACCUCCACAAUGCACGUAAGUGCGAUGGGGUUAUCUCGAGUGCUACCUGAAGAAGGUAGCUUUUCCAUGGUCUAAAUAGUUGUGGGAAUAAGGGGGGGGCAAGACUGGUGUCAGCUGUUGUGGUAACACCAGCCCCCCGAGUGGUAGGGAUGUUUAUUUGGCCUAAAGCGUCCGUAGCCGGCUAAGUAAAUUUCUCGUUAAAUCCAACGUUUUAAGCGUUGGGCUGCGAGAAAGACUGCUAAGCUAGAGGGUGGGAGAGGUCAGCGGUAUUCCUGGGGUAGGGGUGAAAUUUUUUGAACCCAGGAGGACCAUUAGUGGCGAAGGCUGCUGACUAGAACACGCCUGACGGUGAGGGAUGAAAGCUGGGGUAGUGAAUUGGAUUAGAUAUCUGAGUAGUCCCAGCUGUAAAUGAUGCAGACUAGGUGUUGGGUUGGCCACGUGCCGACUCAGUGCCACAGGGAAGUUAUUAAGUCUGCCGCCUGGGAAGUACGGCCGCAAGGCUGAAACUUAAAGGAAUUGGCGGGGGAGCACCACCAGGCGUGAAGCCUGCGGUUUAAUUGGAGUCAACGCCGGGAACCUUACCGGGAGCGACAGCAGAGUGAAGGUUAGGUUAAAGGUUUUUUUAGACGAGCUGAGAGGAGGUGCAUGGCCGUCGCCAGUUCGUGCCGUGAGGUGUCCUCUUAAGUGAGGUAACGAACGAGACCCGCGCCGCAUGUUGCUAACAAGUCCUAAAGGGAUGUUGAGCACUCUUGCGGGACCGCAGCCGACAAGGCUGAGGAAGGUGCGGGCAACGGCAGGUCAGUAUGCCCCGAAUCUCCCGGGCCACACGCGGGCUGCAAUGGUAGAGACAGAGGGCUGCAACCCCGAAAGGGGAAGCCAAUCCCUAAACUCUACCUCAGUUGGGAUUGAGGGCUGUAAUUUGCCCUCAUGAACAUGGAAUGCCUAGUAACUGCCAGUUAUUAUCUGGCGGUGAAUACGUUUUUGCUCCUUGCACACACUGCCCGUCGAACCACCCGAAUGAGGUUUGGGUGAGGCAUGAUCGAAUGUUGGUCGUGUCGAACCUGGGCCUCGUAAGGAGGGUUAAGUCGUAACAAGGUG
RNAcentral lists this ribosomal RNA (1463 nucleotides) under metagenome. RNAcentral describes it as "bacterial SSU rRNA". It matches the Rfam family "Archaeal small subunit ribosomal RNA". The record is from RNAcentral.